UUUAAAGUGGCAGAUUAGUGCCGUGGACUUAAGAUUCACUCAUAAAGGUUUAACCCCUUUCUUUAAAA
This 68-nucleotide transfer RNA is filed under the name Ashinkailepas seepiophila. RNAcentral describes it as "tRNA-Leu". It matches the Rfam family "tRNA". From Rfam's summary of the family: Transfer RNA (tRNA) molecules are approximately 80 nucleotides in length. Their secondary structure includes four short double-helical elements and three loops (D, anti-codon, and T loops). Further hydrogen bonds mediate the characteristic L-shaped molecular structure. tRNAs have two regions of fundamental functional importance: the anti-codon, which is responsible for specific mRNA codon recognition, and the 3' end, to which the tRNAs corresponding amino acid is attached (by aminoacyl-tRNA synthetases). tRNAs cope with the degeneracy of the genetic code in two manners: having more than one tRNA (with a specific anti-codon) for a particular amino acid; and 'wobble' base-pairing, i.e. permitting non-standard base-pairing at the 3rd anti-codon position. RNAcentral also lists the same sequence under 1 other name. Lineage: Eukaryota; Metazoa; Arthropoda; Thecostraca; Neolepadidae. The record is from RNAcentral.